Molecule: transfer RNA, 73 nt
Filed under: Markhamia cauda-felina
Lineage: Eukaryota; Viridiplantae; Streptophyta; Magnoliopsida; Lamiales; Bignoniaceae
Description: tRNA-Asn
Source: RNAcentral
UCUUUCCUAGUAAAUAGGCCACGUAGCUGGCUGGAUUCGAAGAUAGAGCCCCCUGCCAUGAUCCGCUGAAAGU